Small nucleolar RNA from Cavia aperea (Brazilian guinea pig), 112 nucleotides. The record is from Ensembl. Lineage: Eukaryota; Metazoa; Chordata; Mammalia; Rodentia; Caviidae.
CUGCCCCUGAAUCCAGCUUCCUGAGGCGUUGGUUUCAAGCAGGAGCCUAAAGAGAUGUCCUUCUAUGGUCUGUUGGGCAGUGAAAUAGUCAAUUCAUUAGAAAGAAACAGCU